UACGUAGGGGGCAAGCGUUGUCCGGAUUUAUUGGGCGUAAAGAGCGUGUAGGCGGCCUGACAGGUCUGCUGUGAAAACUCGAGGCUCAACCUCGAGAUGUCGGCGGAAACCGUCUGGCUAGAGUCCGGAAGAGGAGAGUGGAAUUCCUGGUGUAGCGGUGAAAUGCGCAGAUAUCAGGAGGAACACCGGUGGUGUAAACGGCUUUCUGGACCAUAACUGACGCUGAGGCACGAAAGCGUGGGUAGCAAACAGG
This 253-nucleotide ribosomal RNA is filed under the name uncultured bacterium. RNAcentral describes it as "partial 16S ribosomal RNA". It matches the Rfam family "Bacterial small subunit ribosomal RNA", at positions 524 to 776 of the family's 1533-position model. The record is from RNAcentral.